AAUGGCUUGUCUAGUGUUUAUUGGGGUUAGAAUAUGUUAGAAUACAAUGAAUUUGAUUGAUUACAAAUGCUAGAGAUGCGUGAAGAGUGUUUAGAAGUGUGUAGAAAGACUUGCUGAAAUUUGGUCCGAAAUGGGCUAAGAACCCACAAACAUUGCUUUGAAGAAUUAAAUGGCUUGUCUAGUGUUGUUUGGGGUUAGAAUAUGUUAGAAUACAAUAAAUUUGAUUGAUUACAAGUGCUAGAUAUGAAUGAAGAUUGUUUAGAAGUAUGGAGAAAGACUUAUUGAAAUUUGGUCCC
This 296-nucleotide long non-coding RNA is filed under the name Capsella rubella. RNAcentral's name for it is "long non-coding RNA (CRUB_LNC000413)". Lineage: Eukaryota; Viridiplantae; Streptophyta; Magnoliopsida; Brassicales; Brassicaceae. The record is from RNAcentral.